Vicia faba (fava bean) is the source of this 213-nucleotide non-coding RNA. Lineage: Eukaryota; Viridiplantae; Streptophyta; Magnoliopsida; Fabales; Fabaceae. The record is from the annotation of a GenBank genome assembly.
AUGCUCCAACCUCACCUCACCUCACCUCACAUCUUCAUCAUCUUCAUGCUUAUGUCCACAUCCAAAUUGCCCUGUGCUCAAACCAAACACAAACAGGCCCUGCAUCAGCCUGUUCGCCCACACAACAAAACCAAAACAGUGUCCCAAUUAACCUACAAACCAAAACAGUCCCAAUUAACCUACAUAUCGAAACAGUCCAAAACCAUGCCUUAA